AAUCACAAUAACAAUGGUAUGGUUUAGAGCUUAUAUAGUAGUAUAUGA
Molecule: non-coding RNA, 48 nt
Filed under: Trypanosoma brucei brucei
Lineage: Eukaryota; Euglenozoa; Kinetoplastea; Trypanosomatida; Trypanosomatidae
Source: RNAcentral